This 73-nucleotide transfer RNA is filed under the name Anaerolineaceae bacterium. RNAcentral's name for it is "tRNA-Met". It matches the Rfam family "tRNA". Rfam says of the family: Transfer RNA (tRNA) molecules are approximately 80 nucleotides in length. Their secondary structure includes four short double-helical elements and three loops (D, anti-codon, and T loops). The record is from RNAcentral. Lineage: Bacteria; Bacillati; Chloroflexota; Anaerolineae; Anaerolineales; Anaerolineaceae.
GCCUCCUUAGCUCAGUUGGUAGAGCGCAGCUCUCAUAAGGCUAAGGUCAUCAGUUCGAUCCUGAUAGGGGGCA